Molecule: ribosomal RNA, 253 nt
Filed under: uncultured bacterium
Lineage: Bacteria
Description: partial 16S ribosomal RNA
Rfam family: Bacterial small subunit ribosomal RNA
Source: RNAcentral
UACGAAGGGGGCUAGCGUUGUUCGGAUUUACUGGGCGUAAAGCGCACGUAGGCGGAUUGGUAAGUUAGGGGUGAAAUCCUGGAGCUCAACUCCAGAACUGCCUUUAAUACUGCCAGUCUAGAGUCCGGAAGAGGUGAGUGGAACUCCUAGUGUAGAGGUGGAAUUCGUAGAUAUUAGGAAGAACACCAGUGGCGAAGGCGGCUCACUGGUCCGGUACUGACGCUGAGGUGCGAAAGCGUGGGGAGCAGACAGG